Molecule: ribosomal RNA, 253 nt
Filed under: uncultured bacterium
Lineage: Bacteria
Description: partial 16S ribosomal RNA
Rfam family: Bacterial small subunit ribosomal RNA
Source: RNAcentral
UACGGAGGAUGCAAGCGUUAUCCGGAAUGAUUGGGCGUAAAGGGUCCGCAGGUGGCAGUGUAAGUCUGCUGUCAAAGAAUGAGGCUUAACCUCAUCAAGGCAGUGGAAACUACACAGCUAGAGUACGGUCGGGGUAGAAGGAAUUCCUGGUGUAGCGGUGAAAUGCGUAGAGAUCAGGAAGAACACCGGUGGCGAAGGCGCUCUGCUAGGCCGCAACUGACACUGAGGAACGAAAGCUAGGGGAGCGAAUGGG